RNAcentral lists this ribosomal RNA (253 nucleotides) under uncultured bacterium. RNAcentral describes it as "partial 16S ribosomal RNA". It matches the Rfam family "Bacterial small subunit ribosomal RNA", at positions 524 to 776 of the family's 1533-position model. The record is from RNAcentral.
GACGAACCGAGCGAACGUUGUUCGGAAUCACUGGGCUUAAAGGGCGCGUAGGCGGGCUGUCAAGUUUGGGGUGAAAUCCCGCGGCUCAACCGUGGAACUGCCUCAAAUACUGACGGUCUCGAGGGAGAUAGGGGCGAGCGGAACUGAUGGUGGAGCGGUGAAAUGCGUUGAUAUCAGCAGGAACUCCGGUGGCGAAGGCGGCUCGCUGGAUCUCUUCUGACGCUGAGGCGCGAAAGCUAGGGGAGCAAACGGG